AGAGAUGAAGCCAACAUAGCUCUGUGUCUCACCCAAGGCCUGCUGUAACCACUCCCUGGACAGCAUUGAAUUCAGAGCCUCACAAUUGCUGUGUUCUACUUCGCCUAGCAACCAGAGAUGAUCCCUGCAACAUGCUGCUGUUGCUGGGAGUGGGAAAGAGGUGGCAUCGGCGGUUCAAGACUGAGUUUUCUAUCUCUUCAGUGCCUCUUUCAACAAUGAAGAUCAAACCAGGUUUUGUGCAAAUAUCUGCUGAGUGAACUACUUAUUUGAAAAUACAUCAUUGGUUAAUAUUCCCUUUUGCUCAUUGAAAUCUCAAAGACUACAGACCCCGCACAAGACAUUCUGACAUUCCCGUCUUUGAAAUGAAUGACAGCAAUGAUAAAUAUGGCUCACCUCCAGAGAUACAGAUCUCACAACUUCAUAUUUUUAAUAUAAAUUAUUAAUCUGAGGUGUGGUGCAAUUCCAUUAGAUGAAAGAGAUCUACACAUUCAGAAGCACAUGAUUCUUCCCCCUUCCAUGAUUCCAGUGGCCAAUAGACAAACUACAAUAAAGCCAUGCCCUGACUGGAUGUGCCUAACAUUUGUCUGGUGCUUAAAGGAGUUGGCUGCAUGCGUGGGAUGGAGAAGGAUUCAACAUUUAAUGGCAGUUAGAAUCAAAUUUUUAACUCAAGAAGGCAGAAGGAAUCCACCUAAAUAAAUGUUGGAAAGUCACCAAAAAUAGUUCUCCAAGUCAGAAGCGGUGCAAAAGCUGCCUCAGCUCUUGGUGGAUUUUCAAUUUCUCCCAGCCAUCUCUGUUUCGCUAAAGGUUUCUGAAGACAGUGGAAUGCUGUUGAAGACACCACCUUGAUAAAACAAAAACAUCAGCCAAAUUAAAUUUAAAGGAGUUUAAUUGAGCAAAGAAUUAUUCAUGAAUCAAGCAGUCUUCCAAGCCAGAGUAGGCUCAAAUACUCCAGCACAGCCACGUGGUGGAAGAUUUAUGGACAAAAGAAGAAAAGUAACAUAUAGAAAAUGGAAAUGAGGGGAAGCUUUUUUCUCCUCCCCAUCCUGAUCACUAGUAUGAGAAGGGGUGCUAAUGGACCAGCCUUGGCCUUGCAGAUGAAGAUGAUGAAGGAAGAAGAUGUAUAAAGAACCUCUGAAAGAGUCCCAGUUUUACAUUUCAAAGUCUUUUUCCUUCUGUUGUUUAUUGUGUUGGGUUGGAGUGGAGGAUAUUUGAUGGAGAAUUGAUUCUGAAACUUGCCAAAAUAUGGAUAAUACUUUGCUCCUUUUCCAUUGUGGGUUAUCACAAAGAAGAGUUUCACUUUUAGUCAUCUAUUUACAGAUAAUGAAGAUAUUAUACCAUUAUAUGCUCUUGAAUCUGUCUCAUUGUGACUUGGCGAAGAGGCAGUGAAUCUGCCAAAAAGAAGUAGAGCAGCUGUGAAGAUGCCAACACAAUUGAGUACUCUUUCUCUACAUAUUUCUAAAUAUGGCAAUUUAUUGGACACUUAUGAGCAUGGAAUGACAAUGGGGUCAAUUUAACCAUACGGCAAUGCUGAGACACCUUCAUUAUGACCUUUCCCUGGUAUAAGUUAUGUGAUAAUGAAUGCAUGUUUAGUCACACACUGUAGGUACAGAUGGGAAAAAAGAAAGCAUAAAAUAUAAAACAUGAUGUCCAGGUUUCAAAUAAGAAUUCUAAAAUGUUAUUUAAUUAAUGAAAUGAAAAUACUUUACUUUAGAAAAAGAAUAUUGAAUCUCUUUGAUGUAUAAAAUGUAUAUUUCAAAUUAAAAAUUCAAAAGAAACAAA
Molecule: long non-coding RNA, 1779 nt
Organism: Homo sapiens (human)
Lineage: Eukaryota; Metazoa; Chordata; Mammalia; Primates; Hominidae
Product: long intergenic non-protein coding RNA 1192
Source: Ensembl